RNAcentral lists this ribosomal RNA (482 nucleotides) under uncultured bacterium. RNAcentral's name for it is "partial 16S ribosomal RNA". It matches the Rfam family "Bacterial small subunit ribosomal RNA", at positions 28 to 523 of the family's 1533-position model. The record is from RNAcentral.
GAUGAACGCUGGCGGCGUGCUUAACACAUGCAAGUCGAACGGAAAGGCCUCAGCUUGCUGGGGUACUCGAGUGGCGAACGGGUGAGUAACACGUGGGUGAUCUGCCCUGCACUUUGGGAUAAGCUUGGGAAACUGGGUCUAAUACCGAAUAUGACCACUUCUUGGAUGUUGUGGUGGAAAGCUUUUGCGGUGUGGGAUGAGCCUGCGGCCUAUCAGCUUGUUGGUGGGGUAAUGGCCUACCAAGGCGGCGACGGGUAUCCGGCCUGAGAGGGUGUACGGACACAUUGGGACUGAGAUACGGCCCAGACUCCUACGGGAGGCAGCAGUGGGGAAUAUUGCACAAUGGGCGCAAGCCUGAUGCAGCGACGCCGCGUGGGGGAUGAAGGCCUUCGGGUUGUAAACUCCUUUCAGCAGGGAAGAAGCGAAAGUGACGGUACCUGCAGAAGAAGCACCGGCUAACUACGUGCCAGCCGCCGCGGUAA